This 64-nucleotide transfer RNA is filed under the name Gonepteryx rhamni (common brimstone butterfly). RNAcentral describes it as "tRNA-Arg". Lineage: Eukaryota; Metazoa; Arthropoda; Insecta; Lepidoptera; Pieridae. The record is from RNAcentral.
AAAUAAGAAGCAUAUAAUGCAUUUAAUUUCGACUUAAAGGAUAGAGUACAAAACUCCUUAUUUA